GAUGAAGAACGCAGCGAAAUGCGAUAAGUAGUGUGAAUUGCAGAAUUCAGUGAAUCAUCGAAUCUUUGAACGCACAUUGCGCCCUUGGUAUUCCAAAGGGCAUGCCUGUUCGAGCGUCAUUUGUACCCUCAAGCUUUGCUUGGUGUUGGGCGUCUUGUCUCUAGCUUUGCUGGAGACUCGCCUUAAAGUAAUUGGCAGCCGGCCUACUGGUUUCGGAGCGCAGCACAAGUCGCACUCUCUAUCAGCAAAGGUCUAGCAUCCAUUAAGCCUUUUUUUCAACUUUUGACCUCGGAUCAGGUAGGGAUACCCGCUGAACUUAAGCAUAUCAAUAAGCGGAGGA
This 340-nucleotide unclassified non-coding RNA is filed under the name soil metagenome. RNAcentral's name for it is "partial contains 5.8S ribosomal RNA, internal transcribed spacer 2, and large subunit ribosomal RNA". The stretch from base 1 to 119 matches the Rfam family "5.8S ribosomal RNA", at positions 35 to 154 of the family's 154-position model. The record is from RNAcentral.